AGUAACAGUUAAAAGAUCUCUUCAUGCCCCCCUCCCCACCAAUGAUUUCAACAAGUCCUCCAACUCAUGCGACCACAUUGGUCUUACCCUCUGCGACCCACAGGAGCGUUUGCUAAAUUAGCACCCUAACCGGGGCAGGAGAUCCACCAAAGACAUAUUAUAUGAACUGGAUACAGCGUUCAAGGCAGGGGCAGAGAGUUACUCAGUGGCACAUGGAGCCAUCAUGGAGCCAACACCAUGUAUAAAAUUACUCAGAUGAUCGGCACUGCUUCCACACUGUAGCUCAUAGAGCAGGCACACUAACGACCUCCGCUGUCCGAUCGGCUAUUUCAGGAAGAACAUGCAAACUCCACACAGAAAGGCCCUGCCCAGACCAGGGAUUGAACUCUGCAGUGCAUACUUGAUGUGAGGCAGCAGUGUUAACCACUGAGCCACCGUGCUGCCCAGGUAUGUCUUUCUCCUCUUUCUACAUUUACGGAAACGGGACACGAACAGCCCAGCCAGUCUCCUGGGCCAAAGUCUUGUAUUUGUCUGAACCAUCUGCCUGCCCUAAAAGGACUUUCUCAGCCUUAAUACUACUACGACUUCCUGCUUUGCACCUGUCAUUAUUACUAUGGUCUAGAAAUCAACCCCUAACCAUAAACGUAAAUAUGGGUCGUAAUAAGCUGCUAGUACAAACAACUUUUUUCGUCGAGGACAGUCUCAAUGAUUUUGCAGAUAGUCCCUUACUGGCGUUGCUGUUUGUAAUCGCUUCACUGUCAGCAUUAGCUAAUACAAAAAUACUUUUUCUGUACUUUAUCCAUCCCAUAUACUAAUAAUUUUCUUAACAACAGUGUUGAUGUAUCUAACUUAUCUUCAGUGACAUAGCAAAUAAAACCGACACAUCAGAAAGUUUGUGAAGUAGCUUUUUCUUUCCCCCUCUGGAAGCUUAAUAUCUGUUUAAUAGUUGUUGUAUUCAUGCGGCGUCUCUAUGGUUUAAGUGCUAUAGAUUGAAACACAAGUUAUGGGCUUCUGUACAGAGAGAAUGUGCUGUGUGUUUGCUCGCAUACGUGUGCAUGUGUGCAUGUCUUAGGUGGGAGAGGUAAAUUGGGAGCCAUUUCUCUUCCCCGCCCUCCACAUUAAUGUCUCACUUGGGCUCCCUCACUCAGAUUGCUCAUUUUCCAGCUGCUGCAUUUUAAUAGGAAGUCUAUCCUGUGAAACUGGACUGGAAUUGGGGGAAAUCAACAGAGGGUCAUAAAGUACUUUU
This is a long non-coding RNA of Sander lucioperca (pikeperch), 1246 nucleotides long. RefSeq lists it as uncharacterized. Lineage: Eukaryota; Metazoa; Chordata; Actinopteri; Perciformes; Percidae. The transcript is spliced from 3 exons. The record is from RefSeq and is a predicted model, not a curated record.